UGGGGAAUAUUGCACAAUGGGCGCAAGCCUGAUGCAGCCAUGCCGCGUGUGUGAAGGAGGCCUUCGGGUUGUAAAGCACUUUCAGCGAGGAGGAAGGUGGUGAACUUAAUACGUUCAUCAAUUGACGUUACUCGCAGAAGAAGCACCGGCUAACUCCGUGCCAGCAGCCGCGGUAAUACGGAGGGUGCAAGCGUUAAUCGGAAUUACUGGGCGUAAAGCGCACGCAGGCGGUUUGUUAAGUCAGAUGUGAAAUCCCCGGGCUCAACCUGGGAACUGCAUUUGAAACUGGCAAGCUAGAGUCUCGUAGAGGGGGGUAGAAUUCCAGGUGUAGCGGUGAAAUGCGUAGAGAUCUGGAGGAAUACUGGUGGCGAAGGCGGCCCCCUGGACGAAGACUGACGCUCAGGUGCGAAAGCGUGGGGAGCAAAACAGGAUUAGAUACCCUGGUAGUCCACGCUGUAAACGAUGUCGAUUUGGAGGUUGUGCCCUUGAGGCGUGGCUUCCGGAGCUAACGCGUUAAAUCGACCGCCUGGGGAGUACGGCCGCAAGGUUAAAACUCAAAUGAAUUGACGGGGUCAUAGCUGUUUCCUG
Molecule: ribosomal RNA, 588 nt
Filed under: uncultured bacterium
Lineage: Bacteria
Description: partial 16S ribosomal RNA
Rfam family: Bacterial small subunit ribosomal RNA
Source: RNAcentral